UCGUGUAAAACAUUGUAUUUUCUCCUGGUAGUUCUCAAAGCAAUACGUGUUCUUGGGCAGUCAUUGAUUUUGAUGUUAUCAAUGAAAUCCUUGGAGGUAAAGUUUAAACUUUAGUAAGGGUCCAUAUGAGUCCGAUAGAGAAAAAUAUGUAGCACUCUCAGUCCCAAUGGGCCACUGCAGUGACCCAGAAAUAUUAGCGCAAUGUCACAAGAACGUUGUGUGAGCGUAAUAUUCUACCUCUGUCCAUUGUAUAUAAAUCCUUGGUCCGGCUUUCUGGUUUGUGUGACUUCCAGCCAAGGCCUGUUCCACUGGGGCAGAAUACAAAGACCCAGGCCUUAUGAAGCCCUGAGCAGUGCAGCUCGAGGCAUAAACAAGACAGUCACAUAUACUUUUCAUUUGUGUAUGGGUGUAUUUUUAAAAUAUGUCAUUAUGAUGUAUUUUUUACACUAUAUUCAUAUGGGGUGGGGGCAGUGGGUGCUGACCACAGGGAACCGAACCCCCUGGUUGUUUGGGGGAAUUGUAUAUGGGUUGAAGGUGAAGCUGUCCUUUCCCCUGCUUUAAAAGAAGGCCUCCCCGGCACACUCUCAUUCUAAAAUGGCCACCUGUUUAUCCUUCCAAUAUGAAUGAAUUUCAUAGAAUUAAAAAUAUAUAGUUGUGACCAGGUUUCUUCUCUGUGAAGUUGAACAGGCGAGUGGGUGAGGGUGGGGAAAUAUACAUUUAAAGAAAUGCUAUGGCUUUGUAGUUCGCAUUUAUGAGCUCCAUGUUUGAAGAGAAUGAUUACUUCAUAGCAGUCAUCAUUCUCUUACUACCAUUAUUUAAUGUAAACUGAAUCCAUCAUAUGGUCGUAUGUGUGGGUGAGCGAUUGUAUGCUUAUUCACUGUGGUUAUACGCUGUCUGUCUCUUGUUCUUUCUCUCUGUUCUGUGUUUUAUUGCUGUGUCCUGUGUUCUCUCUCUCUCUGUGUUGUGUUCUCUCUGUGUUCUCUCUCUCUUUCCUUUGUGUGUGUGUGUGUGUGUGUGUACUGGGAUCAUUUGUUCAUCAACUGAAACAUGUUCAGCACUAGGCACAUAGGCUAGAAAACACUAUUAUCAAACUAACAUGGAAUGUACACACGCGCACACACACACACACACAUACACAGUAACACUGAUACACUCGCACACGCACAGAGAGAGAGUUCAGCCGAUUUAUCAUAAUAUGCUUUAUCUGAAAAGUAAGUAUCUUACCUCGGGAUAAAGAGAGGAAAGAGAGCUUUCCCAUCAGUGGGGCAGAGGAGAGGAGGAUGGAGGGAGCGGGUCAGUCGCAUGGAGGGAGGACAGGACAGAGCCCGGGCGCUCAGACGGACACACGGAACAGAACGUGGGGGGACAAGAUGGAGGAGAGGAGACGAGAGGCCGGCGAGGUCACAUGGUCAAGGCACUGGGCCUCGCUCGCAGAGCUGGAACUCAGGCUGAUACGCAGGAGGACAGACAGAGGGACUCGGCCGGACGGACAGAUGGACGGACAGACGUGGACUGCCAGAAUGAGAGACCCUCUGUGUGACUGGUGGACAGGCAAUGGAUAUGACAGCAGCAGAGGUGGAGCUGUGCUGGAGGCUGUAAUGGUGGGCUGGCCAAUGCUUAAUGGCUCUUUGUGGCUGUCUCUGAGUCUUGAUGCCCUCCUUCCCAGUUUGCCGGAAGAGGCCUCCCUGAACCUGCCGCAGUGAGCCGCAGUGGAAUGAACCCAGGUAAGUAUGCCCAGGUAAGUAUGCCCAGGUAAAGGCCUUUGGGCAGCACAUUGCUCAUUACUCACCUGCCUUUUAAUUAAUUAAUCGACUGGGUGCCGAUUAACACACCCACUGCCUUUGACCGCCCGCCGUUGAGUGCAUGAAUUAACUCGCUUCAGACGAUCGUUCAUCAGGCAUGCUGUCACAUGGCUGGCACGAGGUCGCCAAUCAAGUCUACCAGGAUAGACUACGGUAGGAUUUAGGAAGCGAAAGCAUAUUAACAGAGGCACACGAUGCACCAUUAUGACCUGUCCUUUUGUCAUCAGGGCUUAGCCCUCCAUAAGGAUUGCAAGAAAUAUUGCAUUAAAGCAUGUCUGCAGUACAUUCUAUUCAUAAUAACAGCAUCAUUGAUUGAUUGAUUGAUUUUAUUCAAUAAUUUUUAAAAAGAGAAAAACAUGCACCUGAAGCCAGCUUCUCUUACACA
This is a long non-coding RNA of Anguilla rostrata (American eel), 2187 nucleotides long. RefSeq lists it as uncharacterized. The transcript has 2 exons. Lineage: Eukaryota; Metazoa; Chordata; Actinopteri; Anguilliformes; Anguillidae. The record is from RefSeq and is a predicted model, not a curated record.